RNAcentral lists this ribosomal RNA (424 nucleotides) under uncultured bacterium. RNAcentral describes it as "bacterial SSU rRNA". It matches the Rfam family "Bacterial small subunit ribosomal RNA", at positions 355 to 796 of the family's 1533-position model. The record is from RNAcentral.
UAGGGAAUCUUGCGCAAUGGGCGAAAGCCUGACGCAGCCAUGCCGCGUGAAUGAUGAAGGUCUUAGGAUUGUAAAAUUCUUUCAGCGGGGACGAUAAUGACGGUACCCGCAGAAGAAGCCCCGGCUAACUUCGUGCCAGCAGCCGCGGUAAUACGAAGGGGGCUAGCGUUGCUCGGAAUUACUGGGCGUAAAGGGCGCGUAGGCGGAUGUCUUAGUCAGAGGUGAAAGCCCAGGGCUCAACCUUGGAACUGCCUUUGAUACUGGACAUCUUGAGUACGGGAGAGGUGAGUGGAACUCCGAGUGUAGAGGUGAAAUUCGUAGAUAUUCGGAAGAACACCAGUGGCGAAGGCGACUCACUGGCCCGUUACUGACGCUGAGGCGCGAAAGCGUGGGGAGCAAACAGGAUUAGAUACCCCCGUAGUCC